GUUUACUGUGGAGGUAAUAGAGGAGGUGGAGCAUGAGCAUUCUUGCUAGGACCUGAAAGAUGGUGAACUAUGCCUGGGCAGAGAGGUAUCGGGGAAAUUUCAUCCCCUCUCCCCAGUUUUCAUUGUUUACUGUGGAGGUAAUAGAGGAGGUGGAGCAUGAGCAUUCUUGCUAGGACCUGAAAGAUGGUGAACUAUGCCUGGGCAGGGCGAAGCCAGAGGAAACUCUGGUGGAGGUCUGUAGCGGUCCUGAUGUGCAAAUCAGUCAUCCGACCCGGGUCUAGGGGCGAAAGACUAAUCGAACCACCCAGUAGCUGGUUCCCUCCAAAGUUUCCCUCAGGAUAGCUGGCACUUAGCCGUGGGGCAAUUUUACCCGGUAAAGAGAAUAAUUAGAGGUCUUGGGGCCAAAACAGUCUCAACCAAUUCUCAAACUUUCAAUGGGUAAGGGGGCCGGCUCGCUGGCGUUUAGAGCCGUGCCAUGGAAUGCAAGUGCUCAGUGGGCCACUUUUGGUAAGCAGAACUGAUGCUGCGGGAUGAACCGGAUGAGCAUGAGCUCCUGAUGCUACACAGGAGUCUGUUGUUAAUCUUCACAGAUGCAAGCCAAAU
Molecule: non-coding RNA, 603 nt
Filed under: Buceros rhinoceros silvestris
Lineage: Eukaryota; Metazoa; Chordata; Aves; Bucerotiformes; Bucerotidae
Description: Eukaryotic large subunit ribosomal RNA
Rfam family: Eukaryotic large subunit ribosomal RNA
Source: Rfam by way of RNAcentral